RNAcentral lists this long non-coding RNA (389 nucleotides) under Ictidomys tridecemlineatus (thirteen-lined ground squirrel). RNAcentral describes it as "lncRNA (ENSSTOG00000029391.1)". Lineage: Eukaryota; Metazoa; Chordata; Mammalia; Rodentia; Sciuridae. The record is from RNAcentral.
AAGCAAGCCAGCACACUCAGGACUGGAAGAGAAAGGAGGAACUUGAGCUUUCUUAUCAAAGCACAAGAGAGGAAAAGAAGGUUAUUUCAGGACCUUUGCAUAUCAGGGAAGACUUGGCGAGGAGGUCUGUGUUUUGAUCUAGAAAAAAGAAAAAAAAAGAAGAAGAAGAAAGAAGAACUGGGGAGGUGUGAGGUGGAGCCCAAGGGAAGGGGAUGAGUCAUCCAAAUGUGGUCAGGAACAAAUGCACUGUCAUCCAGACCAUCUCAGCUCGCACCUGGAAAGUGCCAACCCUGGAUUCUCGUCCUUUUUCUACUCCUGUAGGACUUGGGAUGCUGCCAUCAUGAUGCCAGCAAUGAAGGAUAAAAGAAGAGGCAGCAGAAGCAUAGGGC